Heterocephalus glaber (naked mole-rat) is the source of this 6571-nucleotide non-coding RNA. Lineage: Eukaryota; Metazoa; Chordata; Mammalia; Rodentia; Bathyergidae. The record is from RefSeq and is a predicted model, not a curated record.
CUGCCUUUCUACUUCCCGCGGAUUCGGCGAAAGAUCCCACGAGCCUUAAAGCGAAGGUACACCCGGAAAUCCGCCACUGCUUUUUGCAGGUGGCGAAACCACUGAGCUAAAUCCCCAGCCAUCAUUGCUGUUUUCUGAUCUACCUUUUGUGCUCUACUGCUCUGUCCUAAGAAGACCUUUGCCCAGGUCCCCAAGCCUCUGAAAACCAGAAUGAUGAAAUUGGAGCAGCCAUUUGCUGGUAAACUCAAUGUGAAUUGGAUGCAAGAGAUAGCCACGAAGGGUGAGAGGAGACAGCACGUAUUGGUCACAGCAUGAGUUUUGGGGUCAGCCAGCAGACACCUCCAUCCUGAAUUUUUGGUCACACCGAUUUCUUCAGUGUUUCCAAACAUCUUGGACAUUUCUACCUCUGGGCCUUCACUUACCAGAAUUCCUGACGCGAGAGUGUGAGAUCAAGAAGAAUAUUUUCUUCUCCAGAGCCCUGGAAGUGUUGACAUUGACAAGGAAAGCUAUGGAGCUGAUGAUGCUUCCCUUUUGGCCUUGCUUGCCAGGAAACUUGUACUUUUUGUCUUAUUGCUUGCUUCCCUUUUCCAUGGUUUGGGUUUUCUGCCUUUAACGGCCUUUUAAUUUAUGUGAGCUGUUCCACUCAUGGGAGGAGUGGGAUACGGAAAGGUUGAACUGAAUAGGAAAGGAAAGAUCGAAAACUGCAAGGAAAUACCUUACAUAAAACUCCGAACUUAAGGAAAGGGCUGUCCCUGUCUCCUAUCUGUUCCUUCCACAGAGCUCUGGCUCUGGCUCUGGCUUAGGAAUUUUGCAUGGGCAGCUCAGUGGUGAUUUCCUCUCUCACAUCUGGGUCAGUGGCACUUUUGCACUUAGAAUGUAACCCGAAGGCCUGCCCAGCUUUCCCACCUCAGCUUGUCCCUUGUCCCUUUGCUCACCAGGGUAACCACUUGGGUCAUCUUUUAGAUCUACUCCUAAGCCAAUGUCUCUCCUGCCUCAGGAAAAGAGGCUUUUUGAACGCUGUUCCUUUUGCCUGGGACUCCCUGAUCCCACCUCCUGUUUUUGCCUGGAUUCUUUUCCUUACCUUUAGAUUUCAGCUGAAAGCCCAUAGCUCAAAGUACCUCGUGUUCCCCGUCUGCUUUAUCUUUGGGGCAGUGGUGAGUGGUUUUUGGAGAUGGCUCCCACUAUGUCCCCACCCCUUCCAUCCACGUUGCUGCUCCCAUCCAUCCAAAGGUAGCCUCUGGUCCCCCUGGAAGUGGUCUGGGCCUUAGGACUGGCUCCGACCAAAGCGAUGUGCCGAGGCUCCCAAGGGUGGACCUUCAGCUGCUUGGCAGUUUCUCGGGUCCCACGAGGUACACGGGGAAAGGCCCCUGUCACGUGGAGGGACCCAGGUGGAGGAAAGGAAGUGCCCAGGUCAGCAGUCCCAGCAUUGCCUCCCACCCGUGCCUGGGCAGCCAGGUUGUUCUAGCCCUGCUGAGCCCCGGAUGCCACAGCCCCAGCCACUAUCACAUGGGGCAGAAGAGCCCCAGCAUUGUGGGAGAUACCUCAAUGGUGGUUGUUUUAAUCUGUUAGGUUUCACAUAACCCAAAGGGAGGUCCACCUUGCUACUUUUGAAAUCAUCACCUACAGUUAUGUAAUGAUUUGGUUCUUCCCUUGCUAAUUUCCCAUUUUCCCUCUAGGACAUGAGCUGCAGGGACAAGGACUGUGUUUGUCCUGCUCACCACUACUGCCAACAUUGAGCACAGCAAAUGACUUGUCGCAAGAGCUGAAUGAAUGAAUGAGUCGCAUCAGUGGGAUCCUGCAGUGUCUCCUAGAGCCACUGUGAGCCUCUGUGGCUGGAAUCCAGGCUGGGACAGAGCCAGGGGACAAGGUGGGCAUGGCCCAAGCCUCAGCCCUCUGGGGCUUUCACAGUCAGAACUGUGCAGGGAGCCUGGGGACCUCUGUUCCUGCCAGGCCUCCCAGCUCUGCCAGGGAGAAUCGCCCCCUCCCCCUUUCUUUGGUGCUGGGGAUCAAACAAGGACCUUGUGAAUGGCCAGCAAGUUCUCUACCCACCCAGCCACCUUCCCUUUCCUUCCCCCUCCCUCUACCUCAGUGGGGCACCUGGGAAGUCUGUUUGUGUGUGCAUGUGUACCGAUGAUGGGGACAGGACAGAGUCAUGGGGCCAGCUCUGUCCCAUUCUGAGCACGGUUUGGACAUAUGGCCACGGUGGUCGCUGAGUGCCCAGUCAGAAAGGAAGUGCUGCCCACCUGUGAGCCUGUGUUCCGGUAACCAUGUCCCAUGUCCCUGAUUCAUCUGUAUCAUCCGGUGUUAUUGGAAGUUGUUCCUCCUCCCCUCUUACAGACGAGGUUAGCUGAUGCUUAGAUUACUUGUCCCAAAUCCUACUGCCUCUAAGUGGUAGAGGCAGGAUUUGAACCGUGGCAGUGUGGCUCCAGAAGCCACCAUCUUAACCAUUCUGCUUCUCUGAGCCUCACUCUGCAUCUCUGGAAAGGAGCUAAUAAUACCUGCUUAACACAGCUGUGAUAAUAUACAAUCCACUUGCCAGGCAUAGGGAAGGUUCCCAAUAAAUCUCAGUGUUUAGUGGCAAGAUAGAUAAACGGGCCUCACUAGGGAGGGUUUUCAAGGCUGUACUGUGAGGGCCCGGGAGCCAUUGAAAGUUUUUGAGCAAGAGAGUGACAUGAAGAGAUUGUGGCUGAGUUCAGAUCCUGCCCUUUCCCUUUGCUGCUCCCCCUACCUGAUGCUGGUGGCUGAGCUCCACUCACCCCUGCCUUAUCUCCCUGUGGGCUUUUGAGGUCUGAGCUAUUUGAGAAGUGUGACAGGUCAUCCUUGACCUCCUGAAUGAAGGGGACAGGAAGGGAUGCUGCUCCCCUUCCCGGUGGCCUCUAGGUCUCUCCAGUCUCAUCUCAAGGGGCAGCCUCAGAGCCCUAUUUGUGCCCUGUUUCCAUCUCCACUUUGAACACUAGCAAUUGUGAGAGGCACCUGGCUUCCUCUCACCAUCGACUCCUUAUCCCAUUCUGGCUAUCUGACCCUGUGCUCUGUUCCUUAGUCCUGUUGGGUGUUUAUGGUCGGCGCGCACGCGCACUCUCAUGCACACCCUCGGCCCGUGGCAUGUGUGCUGUGCACAUGAGCAUCCGUGAUGUACUGUUACCUGUGCUUGUCUAUGUGCAUCGAUGGCUUCUGGCUGCACACGGAUGAGGGGUGCAGAGGACCCGUGUGGUGGCCUCCACCUCCCUCGCCACUGUCCCCUCUCUGUGCUUCCUUCUGUCCUCAUCAGCGUCUCUGCUCACCCAUGCCUUGGUCCCUUGAAGCACAGCCCAGGUCCUUGCUGUCCUGAGCCCUGGGUGAUGGGGGUGUGGCCUGUAAAUGUUGACCCGAGCGACUGAAUGGACGUGGCUGUGUGAGCGGCGCUAAUUCCAGAAGUGUGUGUGUGUGUAUACACACAUGUGCGCAACAGGGCUAUGUGCAUGGACAUGCAAAUGUACACACGUGCUGUAGGUAUAGAUGUGUCCCUGGGGGCCGUGGUGAGCCUCUUUGUCCCUGUGGAUUUAGGCACCAGAAUGCUGGCAAAUGUUUACCAAUGGCUCUUCAUUAGAGAAACACCCCCCAUUUGCAGCUCUUGCCAGUUUCUGUGGUGUGAACACUCCCAGUGUGGCCACUGCCAGAUGCCCACGUGAUGCCCCUCAACUUGGAGUUGGGAAGACCCUGAGGGGUCUCACCUGGGAUUGUGUCUGUAUGGGACAGUGAGCAUGGGGAGAGUGGGCAGGACCAAGUUCCCAACAGAGGAAUCUGCACAGGGGCGGCCCCAGCUGCUGUUUUGCAGAGCCCUGCCUGCUUGUGCUACGGGAGCAGGCGAUGGCUGGCCGCCAGCCAGCUUUCUCCGAGGUGGCUUGCAAGCUGAUGCUCCUCGUUAAGCAGGUCUAGCAGCUCCCUGGGACAGCCAUAGCCACCAGCCCUCAGCCUUCCCCUGCCCUGAGAGUGUGCAGGGGAGAUGGUGGCAGGACUUGGGGGAGGGGGCGAAAGCAGAAAGGCUUCCAAUUUCAUCAGAAGCAGCUGGGCUGGGAGGCGGGAUCAAGAGGCUGGGAGCCCCCAGUUGGCCUGAAGCCAAUGGGCUGUGCAGGUCUGGACAAACCACUUGCCCUCUCUGGUGUCCAAUUGUGACUUUCCAUGAAGAGCUUCACUGUCCCUUAUUUGACUCUCUGGGAGCCAGCAGCCUGAGCUCUGAGUGUUGACAUCUAUGUUCAAAAGCUAGAUAGCCCGGGCUGCAAUUAGACAGUGACAGGGGCCCCGCGGUGGCCAUGAUAGGGGUACAUCACAGGCCCAGGGACAGUUUCACCCCGAGCCCCAUACCCAGACCUGGACCUUUCUUUGGUGCCUGCUGUCUAGGCUUCUGCCCAAGGUUCCCCCAGCCACCACCUUUUGCUCCUGAGGGUGACUGGCCCGAGGGUGGAGCAGGGAUGGCUGUUCUGGGAGCUCAUAUGUGCCAGCUGGCGCCUGCACCACCUCUGUGGAGAUGCCCACAUGUGCCAAACAGAGCUGGGCAUGGCUGGCGGGGGCCGAGAAGCUAGGGUUGAGGUGCCAAGAUGGGCUUGUCCGCUGUGGUCACCAUCGGGGCAGAAUUCAAAGGAGGUCGAGCUUUCUAAAUCUAAGCCUAGCAUUUUCAGCUGGAACAAAGACAGAUAGGACAAAGGACGGAACUAGUUUGGUUUGUUCGGAGCUGUAUAUUUAGACUUAAAAUCUAAGAGGCUCCCCCAGUUUUUUGGCCCUGGUCCUGAAGAUAUUGGGGGAGCCUGGAGAGAUAAUCCAGAUCUGUGGGGUGCUUGGCACUGUGGCCCCCAGUGAUGGGCUGAAUGGAGCAGAGGGUUCCGAACAGCGCUCAGUGCUUGGGCGGCCUUUUCCAGGCCUCCUUCCUCUUAGUAUGUGUGUGGCACAGGUCUCCUGCUGGGCUGGCUCCUUCCUGGAGUCCCUAGGGAAGUUGUCUUGUGGCUUAGCUCCCUCCCUCCAAUCUCCAGCAGUGUCUUUCUCCCCAAAGAUCCCCCCAGUCCAAGAGCUCACGAGGGCCUCCCUGGACCUCAAGGGGACAAGGCCAUGGCCCUGCCACUUUCCUGCAGCCCCAGCUGGGUGACCGUUGGUGCCCUGGAUGCCUCCAAUAGGUCGCUCUCUUGGCUUGUCAAACAGUACUAAAACAACCAGACCGGUGAAGCCCAGCCUGUAAUUAGUGAGUCCUCCAUGCCUUUUUGGUAGGUGAAGGUAGAGGUCAGGAGGGCCAGGUACAGCUUCUUUCUCUUUUCAGAGCACCAGGCCCUCAGGGCCUCACUGUACACAAGCUUUCUCAGCUUUUUUUUCUCCUUUUUGUUUGUAGUGGCAUCUGCUGGGAGUUUCUACCUGACCUUCUGGGUCAAGGACAAUACACCCAGAGGUGGCAGGAGGGUGUCACAGGGAUGCAUUAGGGGGCAGAGGAAGAUGCAUUUUAUGAUUUUGUUUGUUCCUUGUCUCUAUUUGAUUUCAAAAUACCUGCUUUCCUCCAUCUUUUUUGGCAUGACAGAUUUUUCGGGUUUUUUGAGACAGGGUCUCACUAUGUAGUUCAGGCUGGCCUUCAACUGACUGUGUAGCCCAAGCUGACUGUGAACUUGCAGUGAUCCUCCUGCCUCAGUCUCCUGAGCAUUGGGAUUACAGUCAUGCACUACCACAUGCCAUGACAAAUUUUUAAAGUUAAAGUAAACUAAGUUAAAUGCAUUCAAUGUAUUUGCUGACCUGGCAGUUUGACUGAACAUGGCUAGACAUUGGUGGCUUAGUUCUUUAUUUUUCAAUUUGAACCCCAAACCCAAGGCCUUCGCACUGAGCUACAUCCCUAACUCAUUUUUGUAUUUUUUAUUUUGAGACAGGGUUUUGUUAAAUUGCCCAAGCUGGGCUCGAACUUGUGACCCUCCUGCCUGAGCCUCCCAGUUGUGGUUUAGUUCUUUAACUGCCUUCGUGGGUCCUUUCUCCAGCGUCAAGGGCCAUGUCCUCCAGUUCGCUUUCCAUCUUUGUCUUUCCCAUCUGUUCAGGUUGAGACAGGCCCAGGGUCCCCUUCGAGACCCUUCCCCUUCUUCUGCCACUCCGUGGCCCUCUCCGGGCAAUACCUCUCUGCAGAGAGCCCCAGCGUCUUACCUUCCAGGCUGCACACUUUCCUUGGGAAAAUGGAAACCCUAGUUUGUGGUUGGGAUGUUGAGUGGGACUGGUUUAGUCUAAAAGAGAAACUUCAAGGACAUCAUGCGAAGAUCUGAGGGGCCAUCAUACUGGAAAGGGGAGGGAUUUGCACAGAGUGAAGGAAAGGGUGGGUUUGAGUAGACUUUGCCAUUUGCUGCUGCCUAGCAUUGGCCAGUGCUUCCUUGGAAUGGGCUGAGUUCCCUGUCCCUGUUGGCAUGCAAGUGCCAGUAAAAGCUAUUUAAGAGGGAGCCUGUAACCUGAGGAGUGGGGCCACCCUACUGCAUGGCAUCUAAGCCUCCUGUCUCCCAACUCUGAAAAUAUGUGGCCUUAGGAUUGCUUUAAAUGAGAUGCAAGGAGUUGGAAAAGCAAUUAAAGAAAUUCACCAACGUGA